Molecule: long non-coding RNA, 2197 nt
Organism: Athalia rosae (coleseed sawfly)
Lineage: Eukaryota; Metazoa; Arthropoda; Insecta; Hymenoptera; Athaliidae
Exons: 5
Source: RefSeq, a predicted model, not a curated record
UUAACUUGUAUAUAGCGGUUUGAGGAAAAAAAAUGGAAGCAAAGUAUGAAAAAAAGAAGAGAUACAUUUAAGAUCGGGAAGGAGGAAACGGAUCAAUCGUUUUCUUCCAUUACUUCACGGUUUGAUGAUUAUUCUUCAACGAUUUAUCUCGUGCACUUUAUACGUACACUGUACCUAGAAAGGACGCGGAUCGGUUGGCCGAAAUUGAGAGAUCAGAGUAUAAAACGAGAUCAAAAAUAAGAGGAAAAAAUCAACCAUGGCAAGAAUCACUCUAAUUUCUAAAUCGCGAAUUUUAUAGAAUAAACGGAUUAACCCGAUUCCCAUGACCUUAGAGGAUGGUCCUCUUAUUAUCGUUGCUGUUAUUAUUAUUAUUAUUAUUGUUGUUGUUCUUUUUAUUAUUAUCAUUGUGCGUGUUAAUUUAAACGCCAUUUAUAUACCAGAUAAGUACAUUGUGGAAAUGAAAGGAGAAAAAAAAAAUUUACGGACAGUGAGUCACUGCGGGCCAGGUGAGGUACACCAUUACUAAUAUAGCAAUAGUUGCCGCUCGUUGAAGUUGAAGUUCCCUGCGUUUUAUUUAAUGGUGAAAAAAAAACAAUCAGGUUUUGUCUAGAAGUCAUGUACGCAUAUAGGUAUAUGUAUAUAUUUAGAUUACAAUUGUUAUGUGGGUCACACGGAUAAAAUUUACAAUAUUCAUGGAAGACGACUUAAUUAAAGCGUCUCUGUCUACUUGGAAACCAUCUUCUGAAAGAAUCUCGCGAAUGCGCCUCGUAAGCACCUAUGGUGUCUUCUUCGUUAAUCCAUAUAUCUAUGUGUUGUUACUCGCUACUAUUAUAAUUACGUACAUAUUAUGCACUGACGGACACGUAGCUCGAGGUAUGAAAUCUUCUAUCGAAUAUAUCGCUCUCAUUGCCAUCAGCUAUGUACGCACGUUUACUUGUACACAACUUUCCACGUUUUCUCAUCAAAUAUGGAUCAAUUGUUUCUCUCGAAGACACCACAAUGCAAGUCCAUAAAAUUAAAAACGGGAAUACACAUCAGACGAAAAGAAAGUGACGACGACUAUCAUUUACUAUACGUGCAUAUGUAGAUGUAACGUACAUUGGAAGUAAAAUUUUCGAACAUUUACGUUACGUGGAAUUCUGAUCUGAUCAUGGCGAUAGUGAGUGAUGAUGAUAAUAACAAUAGUACAGUGAUAAUAAUGACGACGAUAAUAACUAUGUACGUCAGUGUUAUGGGUGGAUCGUGUUUAGCGGGUUUAUGUGUACUAUAAGAUUGGAAUAGCGUGACGUUCGGACGUUUCUGGAACGCGAAAUACAAGGAUCUCAGAUUUAGUUUACACUCUAGCUGAUAUAACGAUCGAGGAAAUGUUCUGCACAAAGUUUUUCUAGCGGGGUAGUCGCCACGUCGACAAUCUGCUCCUGCAUAUCCCUAGGGACUCGGCUAUCGGGCAAAUUGUUGGCUCCAGCCGACGCGAUGUCGCGUGAAUUAACGGCUCGAGUAUCGACGGUCAAGAAACGUAAGGGAGAUGAAAUUCACCUUCUUUCCGCAUGGUAGUUGCGAAGGAGUUCACGGUUGGUGUUGAACAGAACUCCAAAAUGACCCUGGCAAAGGGUCACCCAAAUUGGAAGGCUUGGCGUUUUCAGUCUCGAUCCAGGUUGCCUGCUCACUCCUCCGGCAACUUCACCGUCGUGUACCAAAAUUCCGACUUCACUCCUCGUCAAAACCCCCCAUCGAGGAAUCGCCUGAAAUUCAUGCCUCGAGUAAGGUGUUUUCGUCGCCAACGUGGAGUACGCCGUUAUGAAGGUGAGGAGAGCAGCGUCCCGUGAGCAAAAGAAUGACUAUGCUCACGGGUCCUUCUUCAGGACAUCCGGGAAGGAUCGAAGUACGUGGAUCUUCCAGGUCAUUACGUAUGCUGAAAAAAACUGCACUGUAUAAAAGGAUUAUCGCACCUGGUCCCCCUUCGUCCUGGAACUGAAAAUUGAGUGAGGACUUUUGGUAUCCUGCAGACAUAUUUUGAAAAUGAACGAAUCGUAUGCGUGAAAAUGAUUAUUUUGAUUAAAAUCAAUUUACCAAGUAAAGAUACCGCUUGACGAAUAUCUGAAGGUCAUCGAGAUUCGAGAACUCGAAAACGUGGAGCUGGGGGUUCGGAAGACAAAGGAAAAGCAAUCGUUCUAUUAAUAUCAGCCUCCAAUUUCCG